GAGUUUGGUCCUGGCUCAGGACGAACGCUGGCGGCGUGCCUAACACAUGCAAGUCGAGCGGAGACAGUGAGUAGCUUGCUAUGAGCUGUCUUAGCGGCGGACGGGUGAGUAACGCGUGAGCAACCUUUCCCGGACAGGGGAAUAACACACCGAAAGGUGUACUAAUACCGCAUAAGACCACGGGAUCACAUGGUUCUGGGGUAAAAGAUUUAUCGGUUUGGGGUGGGCUCGCGUCCGAUUAGGUAGUUGGUGAGGUAACGGCCCACCAAGCCGACGAUCGGUAGCCGACCUGAGAGGGUGAUCGGCCACAUUGGGACUGAGACACGGCCCAAACUCCUACGGGAGGCAGCAGUGGGAAUAUUGGGCAAUGGAGGAAACUCUGACCCAGCAACGCCGCGUGGAGGAAGAAGGUUUUCGGAUCGUAAACUCCUGUCCUUGGAGACGAGUAGAAGACGGUAUCCAAGGAGGAAGCCCCGGCUAACUACGUGCCAGCAGCCGCGGUAAUACGUAGGGGGCAAGCGUUGUCCGGAAUAAUUGGGCGUAAAGGGCGCGUAGGCGGCUCGGUAAGUCUGGAGUGAAAGUCCUGCUUUUAAGGUGGGAAUUGCUUUGGAUACUGUCGGGCUUGAGUGCAGGAGAGGUUAGUGGAAUUCCCAGUGUAGCGGUGAAAUGCGUAGAGAUUGGGAGGAACACCAGUGGCGAAGGCGACUAACUGGACUGUAACUGACGCUGAGGCGCGAAAGUGUGGGGAGCAAACAGGAUUAGAUACCCUGGUAGUCCACACUGUAAACGAUGAAUGCUAGGUGUAGGGGGUAUCGACCCCUUCUGUGCCGCAGUCAACACAAUAAGCAUUCCGCCUGGGGAGUACGGCCGCAAGGUUGAAACUCAAAGGAAUUGACGGGGGCCCGCACAAGCAGCGGAGCAUGUGGUUUAAUUCGACGCAACGCGAAGAACCUUACCAGGUCUUGACAUCCACUUAAACUUACAGAGAUGUAAGGUGUGCUUGCACAAAGUGAGACAGGUGGUGCAUGGUUGUCGUCAGCUCGUGUCGUGAGAUGUUGGGUUAAGUCCCGCAACGAGCGCAACCCUUAUCUUCAGUUACUAACGCGUGAGGGUGAGGACUCUGAAGAGACUGCCGGGGACAACUCGGAGAAAGGUGGGGACGACGUCAAAUCAUCAUGCCCCUUAUGACCUGGGCUACACACGUGCUACAAUGGCCACGACAGAGAGAAGCGAAAUCGCAAGGUAGAGCGGAACUCAAAAAAGUGGUCCCAGUUCGGAUUGUGGGCUGCAACCCGCCCACAUGAAGUCGGAGUUGCUAGUAAUCGCGGAUCAGCAUGCCGCGGUGAAUACGUUCCCGGGCCUUGUACACACCGCCCGUCACACCAUGGGAGUUGGGAGUGCCCAAAGCCGGUGAGGCAACCGCAAGGAGCCAGCCGUCUAAGGCAAGACCAAUGACUGGGGUGAAGUCGAAACAAGGUA
Molecule: ribosomal RNA, 1479 nt
Filed under: metagenome
Description: bacterial SSU rRNA
Rfam family: Bacterial small subunit ribosomal RNA
Source: RNAcentral